This 601-nucleotide ribosomal RNA is filed under the name uncultured Cortinarius. Its description in RNAcentral is "eukaryotic LSU rRNA". The stretch from base 193 to 346 matches the Rfam family "5.8S ribosomal RNA". The record is from RNAcentral. Lineage: Eukaryota; Fungi; Basidiomycota; Agaricomycetes; Agaricales; Cortinariaceae.
CACACUUGUCAUCUUUAUAUCUCCACCUGUGANNNUUUUGNAGACCUGGAUAUCUCUCUGAAUUUGCCUGACAAAUUUGGAUUUGAGGAUUGAUUUUUUUCUUUCCUUGCAUUUUCAGGUCUAUGUUUUUCAUAUACCCCAUGUAUGUUUAUAGAAUGUAAUAAACGGGCCUUUGUGCCUAUAAAUUUAUACAACUUUCAGCAACGGAUCUCUUGGCUCUCGCAUCGAUGAAGAACGCAGCGAAAUGCGAUAAGUAAUGUGAAUUGCAGAAUUCAGUGAAUCAUCGAAUCUUUGAACGCAUCUUGCGCUCCUUGGUAUUCCGAGGAGCAUGCCUGUUUGAGUGUCAUUAAUAUAUCAAUCCUCUUCAGCUUUUUGCAUGUCGAGUGUUGGAUGUGGGGGUUUUUGCUGGACUCUCUUGAGGUCAGCUCUCCUAAAAUACAUUAGCAAAACAAUUUGUUUACCGCUCAUUGGUGUGAUAACUAUCUACGCUAUUGACAGUGAAUCACAGUUUAGCUUCUAACCGUCCAUUAAAUUGGACAACCUUUUAUCAAUGUGACCUCAAAAUCAGGUAGGAUUACCCGCUGAACUUAAGCAUAUCAAU